Aethalodelphis obliquidens (Pacific white-sided dolphin) is the source of this 740-nucleotide long non-coding RNA. RefSeq lists it as uncharacterized. The record is from RefSeq and is a predicted model, not a curated record. NCBI's taxonomy places the organism in Eukaryota, Metazoa, Chordata, Mammalia, Artiodactyla, Delphinidae. The transcript has 2 exons.
CCGGCGGCCCAACGAGGGAACGGCUCCAACAGACGCCGCGGAGCUCCUCUCGGCGACCCCUCAGCGCCGCCACGCGGCGCCGGGCCCUCAGCUGCCCGGCCGGGCGUGCCCAGCCGCCUCAGGAACGGAAUCAGACAAAUGUGGAGCAGUAGAUGAAGCCUGCAAUUCCUACUGACGGAAAGGCCCAAAAAAGUCUGCCUGGUGCCAGAGGGUGUGCACAGCUGCCAUAGUCACUGGCUCCAAGUCCCUGUAUUUUUGUCGCCGACGAUUCAGUACAAACGCUACUACCCACGCAAGUGAAAGUAGUCCAGAUAAUUUUGAGAGUACAUAUUUUCUUCUCCUAUCAUGGUCCCAGCGUUAAUAUACAGAUAAUGCUUACUGAGAAGAUGCCAACAUGCGAAAUACUAGAAAUUAUGAACUCCAGCAAAGCAGCAGAUGUAUCUUUAAUGAAUAAAGGAAUUCUAAAGACGUUAAUGAUAAUUUAAAAGGGGGUGAUAGAGAGGGCAAAUCAACAAUAGAAAGGGGAAGAAAGGGAAAGAGAGGUAAACAGAUGAGAGAAGCCGAGAAGGAUACGGGAAAUAUUAAAAAGCAAAAGCCCAGAACUCUCUCCAUGCAGCAGUCAUGAAGAAUUUCAACAGUUUAAAAGCGCUAUUGUUUCUCAAUAAAUUGAGUUAUAUCCUGCUUCCCAGGAGACAUAGUUAGGAAAAGUAAGCAUUAAAAUAUAUUUUCAAAUACUGUGA